GUAGGUGGCAAGCGUUGUCCGGAAUUAUUGGGCGUAAAGCGCGCGCAGGCGGUUCUUUAAGUCUGAUGUGAAAGCCCACGGGCUCAACCGUGGAGGGUCAUUGGAAACUGGAGAACUUGAGUACAGAAGAGGAAAGCGGAAUUCCACGUGUAGCGGUGAAACGCGUAGAGAUGUGGAGGAACACCAGUGGCGAAGGCGGCUUUCUGGUCUGUAACUGACGCUGAGGCGCGAAAGCGUGGGGAGCAAACAGGAUUAGAUACCCUGGUAGUCCACGCCGUAAACGAUGAGUGCUAAGUGUUAGGGGGUUUCCGCCCCUUAGUGCUGCAGCUAACGCAUUAAGCACUCCGCCUGGGGAGUACGGCCGCAAAGGCUG
Molecule: ribosomal RNA, 373 nt
Filed under: uncultured organism
Description: partial 16S ribosomal RNA
Rfam family: Bacterial small subunit ribosomal RNA
Source: RNAcentral